CCUACGGGAGGCAGCAGUGAGGAAUAUUGGUCAAUGGUCGGGAGACUGAACCAGCCAAGCCGCGUGAGGGAGGAAGGUACAGAGUAUCGUAAACCUCUUUUGUCAGGGAACAAAGACUGGGACGCGUCCCCGGAUGAGUGUACCUGAAGAAAAAGCAUCGGCUAACCCCGUUCCCGCAGCCGCGGUAAUACGGGGGAUGCGAGCGUUAUCCGGAUUUUUUGGGUUUAAAGGGUGCGCAGGCGGUAGGUUAAGUCAGCGGUAAAAGUCCGGGGCUCAACCCCGGCCCGCCGUUGAAACUGGCAGUCUCGAGUGGGAGAGAAGUAUGCGGAAUGCGCGGUGUAGCGGUGAAAUGCAUAGAUAUCGCGCAGAACUCCGAUUGCGAAGGCAGCAUGCCGGCUCCACACUGACGCUGAGGCACGAAAGCGUGGGUAUCGAACAGGAUUAGAUACCCUUGUAGUC
RNAcentral lists this ribosomal RNA (459 nucleotides) under uncultured bacterium. Its description in RNAcentral is "partial 16S ribosomal RNA". It matches the Rfam family "Bacterial small subunit ribosomal RNA", at positions 338 to 795 of the family's 1533-position model. The record is from RNAcentral.